CUGUGAGUUUUCUGAGAGUGUCUCAUAUCUAAAACUCUUUCUUCUACUUCUCAUCUUUGGAAGAAUCUAAAUUAAGAAGAAAGAGGCAUCUGAUCGACCAUCGAAGAAGGAUCAGCACAGUACUAGCAUAUUGUGCUGAUUUCUUGGAUCAGGACUUCUGAUCGUGAUUCAUGGGCUCGUGUGGACAACUCUUAGAGGUCGGAUGUAUGUACGGC
RNAcentral lists this long non-coding RNA (215 nucleotides) under Elaeis guineensis (African oil palm). Its description in RNAcentral is "long non-coding RNA (EGUI_LNC067687)". Lineage: Eukaryota; Viridiplantae; Streptophyta; Magnoliopsida; Arecales; Arecaceae. The record is from RNAcentral.